Molecule: ribosomal RNA, 513 nt
Filed under: uncultured bacterium
Lineage: Bacteria
Description: partial 16S ribosomal RNA
Rfam family: Bacterial small subunit ribosomal RNA
Source: RNAcentral
GAUGAACGCUGGCGGCGUGCCUAAUACAUGCAAGUCGAGCGCGAGCGAUUGGAGCUUGCUCCAAUCAAUCGAGCGGCGGACGGGUGAGUAACACGUAGGCAACCUACCCAUCAGACUGGGAUAACCACGGGAAACCGUGGCUAAUACCGGAUGACCCUUUGAGACACAAGUCUUAAAGUUGAAAGGCGCUUUUGGUGCCGUUGAUGGAUGGGCCUGCGGCGCAUUAGCUGGUUGGUGGGGUAACGGCCCACCAAGGCGACGAUGCGUAGCCGACCUGAGAGGGUGAUCGGCCACACUGGGACUGAGACACGGCCCAGACUCCUACGGGAGGCAGCAGUAGGGAAUCUUCCGCAAUGGACGCAAGUCUGACGGAGCAACGCCGCGUGAGUGAAGAAGGGUUUCGGCUCGUAAAACUCUGUUGUUAAGGAAGAAUGACACAUGGUGUAACUGCCAUGUGUGUGACGGUACUUAACCAGAAAGCCACGGCUAACUACGUGCCAGCAGCCGCUGUAA